This 906-nucleotide ribosomal RNA is filed under the name uncultured archaeon. Its description in RNAcentral is "bacterial SSU rRNA". It matches the Rfam family "Archaeal small subunit ribosomal RNA", at positions 21 to 903 of the family's 1478-position model. The record is from RNAcentral.
CCCCACUGCUAUCGGGAUGGGACUAAGACAUGCUAGUCGAGCGUCUCCAAGCUAUGGAAGAGACGCGGCACACAGCUCAGUAACACGUGGCUAACCUGCCCUUGGGACAAGGACAACUCCGGGAAACUGGGGCUAAUCCCUGAUAAGUGAGAACUCCUGGAAUGGAUUCUCGCUCAAAGGACGUUUAGACCAUGCUUCUAAGCGUCGCCCAAGGAGGGGGCCGCGACCGAUCAGGUUGUUGGUGAGGUAACGGCUCACCAAGCCUUUAACCGGUACGGGCCGUGAGAGCGGAAGCCCGGAGAUGGGCACUGAGACAAGGGCCCAGGCCCUACGGGGCGCAGCAGUCGCGAAAACUCCGCAAUACACGAAAGUGUGACGGGGCCAUCCCGAGUGCCAUCCGCUGAGGAUGGCUUUUCCCCAGUGUAUAAAGCUGGGGGAAUAAGGAGAGGGCAAGCCUGGUGUCAGCCGCCGCGGUAAUACCAGCUCUCCGAGUGGUGGGGAUGUUUAUUGGGCCUAAAGCAUUCGUAGCCUGCUUGGCAAGUCCUCCGUUAAAUCCAACGAUUCAAUCGUUGGGCUGCGGGGGAUACUGUCCGGCUAGGGGGCGGGAGAGGCCGACGGUAUCCUCGGGGUAGGGGUGAAAUCCUAUAAUCCCGGGAGGACCACCAGUGGCGAAGGCUGUCGGCUAGAACGCGCUCGACGGUGAGGGAUGAAAGCUGGGGGAGCGAACCGGAUUAGAUACCCGGGUAGUCCCAGCUGUAAACGAUGCAGGCUAGGUGUUGGCGCGGCUACGUGCCGCUCCAGUGCCGCAGGGAAGCCGUUAAGCCUGCCGCCUGGGAAGUACGGCCGCAAGGCUGAAACUUAAAGGAAUUGGCGGGGGAGCACCACAAGGUGUGGAGCUUGCGGUUU